AUGACAGCAGACUUCAUUCCCAGCCACACAGAGGUGGCUGCAAGAGCAACAGGCACGCUGCCAGCGGAGCCAGUGAGGGAUGUGGAAGGGUCUGAGCGAGGGCACACAGCAGCUGCUGUAAAGCUCCAGGACAGACAGCCAUUUCCUAACGAGCUCUUGAGCAGCACAAGCAGCCCCAUUUCCACACGAGGGCCACAGGCUGCCACCCACCCACAUCCCUUAGGAAAGGCUGCCACUAUUACCAGCCCAGCCAGCUCUGAUGCUGGCACCCCUCAGCCCAUUCCCAGUGCAGGGGUGCAGCAAGGUGUUUCUGCCUUGUCCACCCCAGGCAUCCAGCAGAGGGAGGCACCAAGUCUUGAAACAUCUCCUCUGACUUCAACAAUACCUUUCCAUCCUCCCAGAAAAGAAACAGCAUCUCCGUUUCCCACCAGAGAGAAGAUGGUGACCAAUCCACCAUCAGCACCUCCCACCAGCAAAAGGCCGAGAGAUGCGAGCCCCCAGGCACAGCCCCACAGCAGAGCUGCACAGCCUCGGGGUGUGGCUGCUAAGGUCACCACUUCUGCAUUCCUACCAAAACCAGCUUCAGGGGACCCUACCGCAGUUCCUUCCAGAACAACACAGACAACUGCUGGUUACUUCUCCCCUGUGAAGCGAGAGAUGGCAGGCAGCGAGGGCAGGAGCUCAACAGCAGCCAUAGUAAGUGGAUCUGGACACACAGCCCAGCUGCCUGCACUGCAGGACAUUCUGCAAGGCCACGCACACUCCUCUUCCCCACUGAUGCCUCUGGAAGCCCUGGAUCAUGAUUUACCCCACUCUCCAUCUCAAGAGCCCACUAAUGCUGCUGACGGACCGCAGCCUCUCCCUUUGCCUCGGACUCACAGCUGUACCAAACACCACUCCUCCCAGGAAGACCACAGGAGCUCUCAAGGAAGCACAGCCCUGGUUUUGCAAAAAGAUGCUGAUCACCAGAUGACAAGUAAACCCGAAAAAUCCAGAUUCCCUGAGAAGCCACAGGUUUCUGCUAGUGCAUCUUCAGUAAGCCAGUCACAGAUGUCCACCUUAAACAUUUCCCAAACUACUACAGGGACAAAAGGAGCUACAUCUGCAUUCUCCCUGGGCACUCCCACCCUGCAGCACGCAGCCCUUCGAGCUGUGAGCACUCCUGUUGUUCCUGCAGCACUUCAGCCAGCGGGUGUAUCUGCUCCUCCUGCUGGACCCCAGUUAGCAGGCAUCCUCACUUCUGCUGGGCAAGGACUUCACAUACCAACUUCACCCACUUCAGCUCAUUCCAGGUCUCUGCACCCACCUUUUGCUCAGGAAAGCCUGCCCAGCACAACUGCACAUCCCAAUGUGGUAGAGGCUGCUGUUUCUGAUGGGAUCCCAGCACACCUGGCACAGCUGCUGGUGCAGCAGUUGGAUACAUCACACCACACACCUACCAAAAACCUCAGUGCUAUCGGAACCGAUCACCUUAGCAUGUUACCAUCAUUCCCAUAUUUGUCCUUCCUGCUUAGAAAUACCGACAGCAUGCUAUGCCUGCUUCCCACACAGGAUUCCCCUUUGCCUGUGCAAUUCCCAAAUAUCAGCACUGGGACUCUGGUUUCUGCUCAGCAAAUCCUCACGGUGUCAAAUUCUUCGUUAUUAGAUCUAGGGGACUUACCAAACAUGAGUCUUUCCAGCUUAAUCCUGGUUAAGCCCAUAUUUAUCCUCUUUCCCACCGACAGACCAGGCUUACAGGGGAGGCCCUCUCCUGAGGGUGAAGGCAAACACAAAACCCUGUUGUUCAGCAACCAGCAAGGUGUGAAUGCAAUUACUGCUCAGCACAGCCAUGACAUCCCGCUGGUGUCCACACGCAUCCCCCGUACUGCCCCCAAAGCACCUCUCACAGCUGGGAAGUUGUUUUCUUUAUCACUGCCAGCGGUAGAACUGCCCGAUCCCCCACUCCCAGCCCAGCCUCCGUUUGCAAUCACAGAGGCAGUGGAUCCGGCUCAGCCCAGCAAGGAGGCAGCACUGCAAGGCACCGGCCUGGGCUCAGCCCCCGCACCGUCCUCUGCCCGUGCACAGUGCGCUGAGUGUCUGCGCUCAGCCAGGACCACGAAUUACCCACUGAGGGUGUCCACAAGCACUGUGCCUCUGCAGUCCACACCGCAAAGCUCCGAGCCGCUCCAAAGGCUGCCAUCACCAGCUGGGAUUGCGCCCAGCACCGUACCGGCAUCCCCAGCGCCUCCCACUGGCAGCGACAGGAGAGGUUCAGCUGCGGGCAGCGCCGCCUGUCCGGGAGUGGCUCUGCAUCCCAGGGCAGCACCAACCUCACCCUCAUCUCUGAGCCCCGGCCUUGCCAAGCGCCUGGAGCUCACACCCACCGUGCCCAAACCCUCUGCAGUGAUGGAGACCCCAACACCAGUGCUGUCACCAUUAUCAGCAAAGGUUCACGUGAAAACAACAACGUCUGGGAAGCUGCUGGCUGCAGUUACCCGUCCGAGAAUGUACGCCGGGUCCCCUGCAAGCCCGCCUUCCUCUGUGGCCAUGCGCAUUCUGCCAUCAGCCACAAAACACGACCGGAGCACCCGAGCACAGGGCAAUGUGGGAGAAGAUGCAAAGCCAGCUGAAGUCAGCACGAGUGCAAGGAAAACAGGACUCGCAGGAAGCAGCACUCCUCUGCCAGCUGUGUUUGGGCCGGAGCAGCACCCCGCAGCAGUGCAGGACAGCGAGGCUGCUUUAGCCCCAGUGCAGUCUGAGUCUGCAGAAGCUGUGAUUGAGACACACAGCUCUGCUGGGCAGCACCCUGGACCGCCUACGACAGGAUCGGCUGUGGGGCUGCCCCUGAGCACUGAGGAAGAAGAGGAGGCCGGACCCCGCGAGGUGACAGAAGAAGCAGCCGAAGGCUCAGUGACCGAGCUCACACCGCUGGGGUCACAGCCGGCAGAGCCCCGCCGCCGCAGCGCCGUGCAGCCGGAGGGCGCCGUGCUGAGCGGCGUUGCAGUUGUCAGCGAUGAGCUCUGUGGCUCUGGGAACUACACGGUGCGGAUGACCCUGCGCCCUGUGGCAGACACCAGCCUGGGGCUGCAGGGCUCACCCCCCACCCAGGACUCCUUCCUGGCUCUCGUAGCUGUGCAGAGCAGCCCCCAGCCCGUGCUGCAGCUCCGUUCCUGCUGUGUGACACCGUCCAGCAGCCUGCAGGGCCCCAGCGCCGUGUGCUGCUCGCUGCCCAGGCUGCCAGCUGAAUGCAGACACAUCCAGCUACUGCCGAGCAGUGAGUCCAGAGCUGCCAGCUUCACCAUCCAGCUGUUCCAGAUGCUAAAUCACUCCGUGGCCUACCUGCACUGUGAGCUCAAUGUCUGUCUGCAGGACCACACAGGCUGUGAGCAGGAUUGCUUUGUUGGUGCAGAGCCACUCCUCCUGCCAGGGGACAGGAACAGACAUGGGAACCCACACAACCUGGUCUCAUUCGGCCCAGUUCUGAGAGCAACGGACAGCUUAGAGUACAGACCUGCAGAAGGUCCUAAUUCUGCCAUGCUGGUGCCCAUUCUGCUGGGAUCCCUGACUGGCUUUGCUGUCCUGGGCAGUGUUUUCAUCUGCCUUUUGUUGCAUCACAGACAGAAAACCAAAAACCUAAGUUAUCCACAACUUGGAGAAAUCUGUGGCCUAUGAACUACACAUAACUUCCUGGUCCUGCCUAUCCCACUCCACUACUACAGUAAUCAGAAAAGCAAACACUUUUGAAUUGCACACUGUAUUGCUUUUGUAGACCUGUUGGCCCAGGGAGCAAGAUCUCUCUUUCCUUUCUUUCCUUCUGCACGCUUGAGCCCACAGACUGCAGAGUAGAGGACUGUAGAAGCAGCCCAUCCAAAGGGGAGAAUAGAUCUGCCAUGUAGCUAAAACCUCUAGGUCAGGGUUCAGUGUCUGUCUUGCAGAAGCACUCAUUAUUCCUUGCACUGCAGCAGUGCUGUGGAAAUUAGCACCACAUGCCAUUUGACAUUGCCUUACCCACAGAGGUAGUCCCUGUGCUAAGCUGUUAAUGCCAUUUAUGCCCCAGACAAGUGUCAUUAAAACCUGCUGGAGAGUUAAGGCAUAGAGCAAGUGCAAGUGUGUGCGCAUCAAAGGUGACACAGCUACAAAGGAGCAGUGCCCCAGCCCCAAAGGUUUGCCCUCUUCCCUGCGACACAUCUGCAAUCACAGCAGGUUCUGUGCAAAGCUGCAGCUUGAGGGCUGCUCAGUGGUUGUUGGUAACACACACCCCAACCUCCCAGAGCUGUGACAGGGCGCUGGGCUGCCAGGAUGUGUCAUCAGUGCAGCUGUGCUUUUGGGAAGAAAUCACUCUGCAGCUGUGUGUGGCCCUGCAAUGGUGCUGUGUGGUGCUGGGGCAGUGCCUGCACUCACUGCUAUCUGCAGAACUCAGCUGCAUCCUGCAGGGCCCGACGCUGUGCAGUGUCGUGGUGCCUCUUACAAAGGUGGGCUUCAGUACCUGCAUGCAUUGUAAAGGUGAAAAGCUGUUAAUAAAGAGUGGGCACAUCCCA
Molecule: long non-coding RNA, 4517 nt
Organism: Phasianus colchicus (ring-necked pheasant)
Lineage: Eukaryota; Metazoa; Chordata; Aves; Galliformes; Phasianidae
Source: Ensembl